RNAcentral lists this long non-coding RNA (2161 nucleotides) under Ovis aries (sheep). Its description in RNAcentral is "lncRNA (ENSOARG00000025437.1)". Lineage: Eukaryota; Metazoa; Chordata; Mammalia; Artiodactyla; Bovidae. The record is from RNAcentral.
AUUUGACUCAAUACAUGGAAUCAACAUGAAAAUGUCAAUGAUGUUUUUGCAUUCUUUUUUUAAAACCUGAUGUACGUUUUAUAAUUAUAUCUGAAUCUGGAUUAGCUACAUUUUAAGCACUCAAUAGCCUCAAUGCCAAGUGACUACCUAUUAAACAGCCCACAUGUAGAAUGUCUGUCAGUUACUGGUUUAAGUGAUUGAGUAGACGGUCAUGCAUUAACCACAUCUUGGAGAAGGAGUAGUCUUAGGGGGAAAUGCUCCUAAUUUUAUGGCAGAUAGAUUUCUCCUAAACGUGUAUAGACUCUUGCCCCAUGUCUUUAAGCCUCCCCUGGAGAAGUGGAAGAAUUUUCUGUGAGUAACUCUGGGGAAACAAACUGGGCAUUCCAGCUCAGAAACUCUAUUCUUUUCCUUUAGGAGCCAGACUGACCAGAGAAAGAACAGAGCUUUGCUUCUCCUCUCAGGGACCCCCUCCACAUAAGGAGGCCUGCCGUGGCCUAGCAUUGCCCUGAUCCAGAGCACAGUGCUAGGCCCUAGUUCUGAGGUUAUGCUGUAAACUCCUUUGACACUCACAAUAAGCCAUGUCCUUCAAAUUAGCCUUUAUCAUUAAGAGUAAAGGUAAUACUCAGCCUCCAGCUUUGCCUGUAGCAGCAGAGGUUGGUUCCAGGGAUAGAUGUGGGUGGAGAGGUUCUCAGCAAAGGGAUGCAUCUCAUGAGGGGAUUUGGAGGUGCAAGAUAGGAUUUCCUUCUUUUUCAAGGUGGAGUCAGCUCGGCCUGUUCCUUUCCUCCCUCCAAGUUCACCCCCUGCACUGGAAAGGUGGAUUCCUAACCACUGGGCUGCUAGGGAGGUCCCCGAAAGCUCUCACAAUUUAUAUUUUGGCAACUAAUCCAAAUUACUUAAAGGAAAAUAAAAAGGAAGGAAGAAAGAGAGGAAGGAUGGGAGGGAGGAAGCACAGAAGGGAAACAAGGAACCAAGGAGAAGAGGAAGGGAAGAGAGAGAAAGCCAGACUCUGAAGCCUGCCACCUCUCCCUCAGGGCUGGCCAGUUACUGCCUGCUCUUGGCCUCUGUGCUGUUGCUUUGGCAAAUAGAGCCUCAUCCUCAGCACCCGUGUUAAAGAGUUCCAGAUUGGCAUUUUCUCUUAGAGGUAGUUAUAUUAGCCUUUACUUUCUGUGAAACCCCUUGGGUAGUGGAGGGGUAAGGCCUCUGUCCCCCACCGCUGCUAAUAUUUGGAGCCCCUGGACUUCCCUGGUGGCUCAGACAGUAAAGCAUCUGCAAUCUGAGAGACCCAGGUUCGAUCCCUGGGUCAGGAAGACCCCCUGGAGAAGGAAAUGGCAGCCCACUCCAGUACUCUUUCCUGGAAAAUCCCAUGGACAGAGGAGCCUGGUGGGCUACAGUCCAUGGGGUCGCAGAGUCGGACACAACUGAGCGACUUCACUUCACUUCAGGCCAAGGGUCCCCAGCCCCCAGGCCACAGACUAUUGGCAGUCUGUUAGCAACUGCGCUGCACAGCAGGACGUGAGCAGAGGGCAAGCAAGUGAAGCUUCAUCUGCAUUUACAGCCGCUCCCCAUUACCUCCUGAGCAGGAAAACAAGCUCAAGGCUCCCACUGAUUCUGCGUUAUGAUGAGCUAUAUAAUUAUUUCAUUAUAUAUCACAAUGUAAUAAUAAUAAAGUGUACAAUAAAUGUAAUGUGCUUGAGUCAUCCCGAAACCAUCCCCUCCACCCCUGGUCUGAGAAAAAAUUUUCUUCCAGGAAACCAGUCCCUGGUGCCAAAAAGGUUAGGGCUUUAGGUCAAUGCUGGCCCUUUGGCUCCACAUGUAGGAACAAGACGGAUCCCCUUCCUGUCCAGGGAGAGGCUUGCCAUCCUGGGCAGCACUGUGCUUUCUGCCCCUGCUCCUGCCCUCUACCCCUGCUGCAGAUGGAGCUCACAUCACAGCCUGGCCAGGGAGCUAAGAGGCCAGGUUCAAGGGGCCACUGUGGGCUGCCAAAAGAAAUUUCCCUUCCUUAACUGGUCAGGAGCAGACAAGCGGCACAGAGCUCAUGUAACAUUUUCACCAUGUGCGAUUUUGAAAGAACCCUGUUCCACAGAGAAAACCUUUCAAAGACUUUUCUUUGUAAACAGACCUGAUGAUAAAGACAUGCUAAGUCCUAGAGCCCAGAGGCUGU